RNAcentral lists this long non-coding RNA (2557 nucleotides) under Equus caballus (horse). RNAcentral's name for it is "lncRNA (ENSECAG00000048673.1)". Lineage: Eukaryota; Metazoa; Chordata; Mammalia; Perissodactyla; Equidae. The record is from RNAcentral.
GUAAGUGGCAAAGCAAGAUUGGAACCAAGCCCAUGUGACUUGAAAACUGAGAGUAAGGCUGUUUGCUUGGCUCUGCACAGGGAGUACACAAUGAGUGUGGCUGCCCGAGCUUGUCGCUCUGUCCUGUGGCUACUUGCUUCACACCCUAGACCCUGCUGGCCCUGCUGGGCUGCAGGAUGGUAGAUGAGAGCUUCCCCUGACCUCUCCUCUACUUCUGCCCCCUCCCACUGUUCCAGAAGGCAGGACACUGACGUUCUCAGUUCCCAGACUGGCAGGCAGACAGCAUCCAAGUAUUGAGCACAUUUUUGGGGGGGACACUUUUGAAGGCCUUCCCACAUUGCCAUCCAACUAGCAGACAAGGACAGCUGCGGUCACCAUGUUCCAGAAGCCCGGAGAUGUGCGGCAGCUGGGCCUCUCCAUCCUUCCCUCCCUCCCUCCCCCGCUGUUUCUCUCGCUACACUGGGCCAUAGGUGGGCGCAGCAGGCCUGGAACACUUUUGUGUUGUCUUUGCUAAAGAGGGGCCGAGGCUGUUUGAAGGUGAACUGUGGAAAAUGGUCUUGCUGUGCUUCAGAUCAUGUCUUCGCCCCUUCCUGACACUGUUCUGGGAGUGGAGACAGGAGUCUUUGCUGGAGAUUCAGCCCUGCCUGCGAGGGUAGGGGAGGGCAGGCCACCCAGCUCACCUCUGGGUCCGUUGGGGCCGCAGCAGGUGUGUGAGAAUAUUUGCCAGUGUGUGCUUGUGUAUGUGUCUGUGCAGGUCUGUAUUUAUACAUGUGUUUGUGCGCAUAUGCCCCUCUGUGUCUACACAUGUAUUUGUGCCUGUGCAUAUGUGUACAUAUGCACGAUUCAUGUCUGGUACGUGUUAACACGCAAGUUUGUGUCUGGAAUCAUGUGUGUUUGCAUGUGUGUUUACCUGCAUGUCUGUGCACGUGUGUGUGUUUAUGCCUGUGUGUUUGUGUGUGUUUGUGUCUGUGCACAUGUGUGCACUCCAGACAAAUGGCAGGAUGCACACUGCGCAUGAGGUGGCUUAGGGUAGAGUCUCGGGCCUUGAAUCAGGCUUCCAUAUGGCCCCAGAUGUGACCCUUCACCCUCCCCUGUGGCUGUCAAGGUCUCUGCCCCCGGAGACCAGAGAACUUUCCUUUGGAACCAAGUGGGCCUCGCUCCCGGGGCAGGGCGGAAACUACUUCCAAAAGCAAACAGGAUCAUCAUCAUGCUGGGGAGCCUGGAGCCCGUGGGACCUUGUUUAAUUCUGAAGGAAUGUGCUCGGUUCCCGCCCAGCAGAGCAGGCCCUGGCCUGACAGGGAGCCGUGAAGACCUGGCCGGCAGUGGCUGCCUUUGGAAGAGGGAGCUUGGCUGGCCAGGGACAAACCAUUCCAGGGACAGAAAAUCACACCAACUCGUGUGACUGGAGUGGGCUAGGGCUGACAGAGCCCUUCCUCAGAGCCUCCGGGCCGGUGUGCCCAGCUCUGUGCCGGGGAGAAGGGGGCAACAAGCAGGGAAGAGGAAGUGGCCCAGAUAUGACCCCAGAGGAGCUUGGAAUCUAUCAGGGAAGGGCAAAUCCCCAACGGGGGACAAGAAGGAGAGUGUAUCAUGGUGACGGGGCGUGGGGGAAGCAUAUAGUGCAGAGAGGAGCGAUCCCUGGGGACUGUGGCCAUCAGGAAAGGCUUCUUGGAGGAGGCGGAGGUUUAACUGGGCCCCGAAGCGGGGGGAAGAUUUGGAGGGAAACAGGACAUUCUGAGAAGAGGAGAAGUUUUGUAAAAGAUGCAGAUGUGGAAAAGGGGAGUGGGUGUUACCCCAAGCGACAGAGCGGGAGACCAAGGGAGACCUUGAGUGUGAACACAGCCAGUCUAGAAACAACACAACUCCAUAGAACCCAUCAGACUACAAAGAGAAAGCAGCAGUCUUCAAAAUAUCAGAGCAGCAUCACAGAAAAAUGAGUCCGCCCUUGAUACUGACUGUCUCCGAGUUUUCUGUGGUUGCACCAUCUGCCGUCUCAGAGGAUGAGCCAUCAGACAUUGCCACAGGGAAGGGGUGGGAAGUGGUCAUCCUCGGGACUCCAAGCUGACUUUUUUGACCUCGUUAUGGAGAUGAUGGGCUGGACUAACUGCAGGAUGGAGUGCUUGUGCAGACCAGAUCACGGAGGAUGGAAGCUGUGGUGUGAGUGACUCUGGCUCCUAGCGACAGCGCUGGAGGGACAGGACAGAGAGCUGCCCUCAGACCUCGGGGCGCCAUCCCCCGUGACCUCGCUGCCCCCUCCCUCUCCCCAGCGAGUGCAAACACAGCUGGUCACGGACUUUUGCUGCGGGAGGUGUUUUCCCCGAGCUGAUAGGAUCAACCUGUUCUUUACCUCAAACCUGUUUUUAAAAGGACUUUCCUGUUUUUUUUUUCUUUCUUUAAUUGCAGAAUAUUUUUAUAACAUACUUUGAACAGAAGAAACAGAACCUAGCAAAACAGUUAUUAAAGAGCUGUAAAAUGCUUUCCUCACACUUGCCCUCUUAUUUCUUCCUCCUUUGGGUGGGUCGGGCUGUAGGUUGGGGCUGCGGUGGGUGAACCUAAGUGA